RNAcentral lists this ribosomal RNA (119 nucleotides) under Pteropus alecto (black flying fox). Lineage: Eukaryota; Metazoa; Chordata; Mammalia; Chiroptera; Pteropodidae. The record is from RNAcentral.
GUCUUCAGCCACGCCACCCUGAACGUGCCUGAUCCCAUCUGAUCUUGGAAGCUAAGCAGGGUUGGGCCUGGUUAGUACUUGGAUGGGAGACCACCUAGGAAGACCAGGCGCUGUAGGCA